CUGCACUGAUGACCAUCUUAGGACACCUUUGGAGUCAAGAUGAAACUAAUAUUACAAUCUGAGCAGC
Small nucleolar RNA from Monopterus albus (swamp eel), 67 nucleotides. Its record names the gene SNORD58. It matches the Rfam family "Small nucleolar RNA SNORD58". From Rfam's summary of the family: snoRNA U58 is found in introns 1, 3 and 6 of the ribosomal protein RPL17 gene in humans. The record is from Ensembl. NCBI's taxonomy places the organism in Eukaryota, Metazoa, Chordata, Actinopteri, Synbranchiformes, Synbranchidae.